CGUGGAGUGAUUUGUCUGGUUUAUUCCGAUAACGAGCGAGACUCUAACCUACUAAAUAGUUGAUAUUUUUUAUAAGAGUAUACAACUUCUUAGAGGGAUUUGCGGUGUUUAGCCGAAAGAAAUUGAGCAAUAACAGGUCUGUGAUGCCCUUAGAUGUCCGGGGCUGCACGCGCGCUACACUGGCAGAAUCAGCGUGUUUUUCCAUUGCCGAAAGGUAUUGGUAAACCGUUGAAACUCCUUCGUGUCCGGGAUAGGGAAUUGAAAUUAUUUCCCUUAAACGAGGAACUCCUAGUAAGUGUGAGUCAUUAGCUCACGUUGAUUACGUCCCUGCCCUUUGUAC
Molecule: ribosomal RNA, 340 nt
Filed under: Nematoda environmental sample
Lineage: Eukaryota; Metazoa; Nematoda
Description: bacterial SSU rRNA
Rfam family: Eukaryotic small subunit ribosomal RNA
Source: RNAcentral